RNAcentral lists this ribosomal RNA (301 nucleotides) under uncultured bacterium. RNAcentral's name for it is "partial 16S ribosomal RNA". It matches the Rfam family "Bacterial small subunit ribosomal RNA", at positions 509 to 809 of the family's 1533-position model. The record is from RNAcentral.
CAGUAGCCGCGGGAAUACGUAGGGUGCAAGCGUUAAUCGGAAUUACUGGGCGUAAAGCGUGCGCAGGCGGUUGUGUAAGACAGGUGUGAAAUCCCCGGGCUUAACCUGGGAAUUGCAUUUGUGACUGCACGACUAGAGUGUGUCAGAGGGGGGUGGAAUUCCACGUGUAGCAGUGAAAUGCGUAGAUAUGUGGAGGAACACCAAUGGCGAAGGCAGCCCCCUGGGAUAACACUGACGCUCAUGCACGAAAGCGUGGGGAGCAAACAGGAUUAGAUACCCCUGUAGUCCCUGUCUCUUAUAU